Molecule: non-coding RNA, 18 nt
Filed under: Arabidopsis thaliana (thale cress)
Lineage: Eukaryota; Viridiplantae; Streptophyta; Magnoliopsida; Brassicales; Brassicaceae
Also listed under: 1 other name
Source: RNAcentral
CCAGCGAAACCACAGCCA